UGAGGAAUAUUGCACAAUGGGCGAAAGCCUGAUGCAGCAACGCCGCGUGAGGGACGAAGGCCUUCGGGUCGUAAACCUCUUUUCUGGGGGACGAGUAAGGACGGUACUCCAGGAAUAAGUCUCGGCUAACUACGUGCCAGCAGCCGCGGUAAAACGUAGGAGGCGAGCGUUAUCCGGAUUUACUGGGCGUAAAGCGUACGCAGGUGGCUUCGUUAGUCGGACAUGAAAGCUCCUGGCUUAACUGGGAGAGGUUGUUCGAUACUGCGGGGCUUGAGGUUGGGAGAGGGAAGUGGAAUUCCCCGGGGAGUGGGGGAAUGCGUAGAUAUCGGGAGGAACACCAGUGGCGCAAGCGGCGGCCUGGCCCACACCUGACG
Molecule: ribosomal RNA, 374 nt
Filed under: uncultured bacterium
Lineage: Bacteria
Description: bacterial SSU rRNA
Rfam family: Bacterial small subunit ribosomal RNA
Source: RNAcentral